UACAGAGGGUGCGAGCGUUGUCCGGAAUCACUGGGCGUAAAGGGCGCGUAGGUGGCGACCCAAGUCGAUGGUGAAAGCUCGCCGCUCAACGGCGAGUCGGCCACCGAUACUGGGUUGCUGGAGCACUGUAGAGGCAGAUGGAAUUCCGGGUGUAGCGGUGGAAUGCGUAGAGAUCCGGAAGAACACCGGUGGCGAAGGCGGUCUGCUGGGGUAAUGCUGACACUGAUGCGCGACAGCGUGGGGAGCAAACAGG
Molecule: ribosomal RNA, 253 nt
Filed under: uncultured bacterium
Lineage: Bacteria
Description: partial 16S ribosomal RNA
Rfam family: Bacterial small subunit ribosomal RNA
Source: RNAcentral